Molecule: ribosomal RNA, 379 nt
Filed under: Escherichia coli
Lineage: Bacteria; Pseudomonadati; Pseudomonadota; Gammaproteobacteria; Enterobacterales; Enterobacteriaceae
Description: bacterial SSU rRNA
Rfam family: Bacterial small subunit ribosomal RNA
Source: RNAcentral
GGAAAUCUGCCUGACGGAGGGGGAUAACUACUGGAAACCGGUAGCUAAUACCGCAUAACGUCGCAAGACCAAAGAGGGGGACCUUCCGGGCCUCUUGCCAUAGGAUGUGCCCAGAUGGGAUUAGCUAGUAGGUGGGGUAACGGCUCACCUAGGCGACGAUCCCUAGCUGGUCUGAGAGGAUGACCAGCCACACUGGAACUGAGACACGGUCCAGACUCCUACGGGAGGCAGCAGUGGGGAAUAUUGCACAAUGGGCGCAAGCCUGAUGCAGCCAUGCCGCGUGUAUGAAGAAGGCCUUCGGGUUGUAAAGUACUUUCAGCGGGGAGGAAGGGAGUAAAGUUAAUACCUUUGCUCAUUGACGUACCCGCAGAAGAGCACC